AUGGAGCGAUUCCAGGGAGAGGUGGAUGUGUCAUGUGUGCCAGCGGGUUUCAAUGGAAAAGAGGCCGUGAGGGCAGCAACAAAAUGUAGCACUUGUGCCACUAAGGAGGAUAGCCUCCCGACAAAGCUAGCUGGCUUUCUUCCUUGGUACGAAGAAGAAGAAGUGGCGCCGCGAGGAGAGGCGGCGCCAACAGUCGUCAGCACCCUCCCACACCGCACCAUCACCGAGCUGUGUCACCGGCAUGGGCCAGUUAUGCUCCUCAAGCUCGGCAAGCUCCCUGCCAUGGUGGUCUCCAGCGCCGAGGCGGUGGCGCAGGUGAUGAAGACCAAUGACGCCGCGUGCUUCAACCGGCGGACAACCGGGUUGCAGGACAUCAUCGGCUUCGGCGGCCAGGGCAUCAUCUUCGCCGCCUACGGUGACCAUUGGCGCCAGAUGCGGAAGGUUUGCGUCAUGGAGCUUCUCAGCCCCAAGAAAGUGAGGCGCAUGGAGGGCAUCAGGACUGAGAAGGUGGACGACCUUGUCCGCUCCAUCGCGUCCUCGGCUGGCACCGCAACCAUCAACAUUAGCAAGAAGGUGGCAGCGCUCAGCAACGGCAUCGUGACGCGGGCCGUGUUCGGCGGCAAAUUCGUGUGGCAGGAGGAGUACCUCCGCCUGGUCGAUGAGAUCAUGGAUCUCAUGGGAGGCUUCUGCCUCGUCGACCUCUUCCCGUCAUCGUGGCUGGUACGGCGGCUGAGCAAAGGCGAGCGCCGGAUGAAGAGGAGCUGUGGAAGCGUCCUAUGCAUCAUCGCCGACAUCAUCAACAAGCGCAAGGCAGUGCGUCUGCCAGCAGCAGUGAUGGCUCCUGCAGCAACGAGGAUGAGUUUUAGUUCAAUUAACUUUCAUUCCAUGCAAAAAAGGAGUGCUGGUGAUUCUUUUAUCAUACUACUAGCACAAAUGCCCGUGCGUUGCAACGGGAGACAAAAACCUCACUUCACUAAUGCAAUGGCUCACGUCAAAGACAUGAUGACAUGA
This 1011-nucleotide ribosomal RNA is filed under the name Triticum aestivum (bread wheat). RNAcentral's name for it is "partial small subunit ribosomal RNA". Lineage: Eukaryota; Viridiplantae; Streptophyta; Magnoliopsida; Poales; Poaceae. The record is from RNAcentral.